RNAcentral lists this ribosomal RNA (253 nucleotides) under uncultured bacterium. Its description in RNAcentral is "partial 16S ribosomal RNA". It matches the Rfam family "Bacterial small subunit ribosomal RNA", at positions 524 to 776 of the family's 1533-position model. The record is from RNAcentral.
UACGGGGGGGGCAAGCGUUGUUCGGAAUUACUGGGCGUAAAGGGCUCGUAGGCGGCCAACUAAGUCAGACGUGAAAUCCCUCAGCUUAACUGGGGAACUGCGUCUGAUACUGGAUGGCUUGGAUUCGGGAGAGGAAUGCGGAAUUCCAGGUGUAGCGGUGAAAUGCGUAGAUAUCUGGAGGAACACCGGUGGCGAAGGCGGCAUUCUGGACCGAUACUGACGCUGAGACGCGAAAGCGUGGGGAGCGAACAGG